RNAcentral lists this ribosomal RNA (450 nucleotides) under uncultured bacterium. RNAcentral describes it as "bacterial SSU rRNA". It matches the Rfam family "Bacterial small subunit ribosomal RNA", at positions 380 to 827 of the family's 1533-position model. The record is from RNAcentral.
ACCCUGAUGCACCAUGCCGCGUGUGUGAAGAAGGCUUCGGGUUGUAAAGCAUUUUCAGCGAGGAGGAAAGGUUGGUAGCUAAUAUCUGCCAGCUGUGACGUUACUCGCAGAAGAAGCACCGGCUAACUCCGUGCCAGCAGCCGCGGUAAUACGGAGGGUGCAAGCGUUAAUCGGAAUUACUGGGCGUAAAGCGCACGCAGGCGGUUGGAUAAGUUAGAUGUGAAAGCCCCGGGCUCAACCUGGGAAUUGCAUUUAAAACUGUCCGACUAGAGUCUUGUAGAGGGGGGUAGAAUUCCAGGUGUAGCGGUGAAAUGCGUAGAGAUCUGGAGGAAUACCGGUGGCGAAGCGGCCCCCUGGACAAAGACUGACGCUCAGGUGCGAAAGCGUGGGGAGCAAACAGGAUUAGAUACCUGGUAGUCCCGCCGUAAACGAUGUCGAUUUGGAAGCUGU